RNAcentral lists this unclassified non-coding RNA (173 nucleotides) under Trichoderma sp. YM8-2. Its description in RNAcentral is "ITS2". The record is from RNAcentral. Lineage: Eukaryota; Fungi; Ascomycota; Sordariomycetes; Hypocreales; Hypocreaceae.
CAACCCUCGAACCCCUCCGGGGGGUCGGCGUUGGGGAUCGGCCCUCCCUUAGCGGGUGGCCGUCUCCUAAAUACAGUGGCGGUCUCGCCGCAGCCUCUCCUGCGCAGUAGUUUGCACACUCGCAUCGGGAGCGCGGCGCGUCCACAGCCGUUAAACACCCAACUUCUGAAAUG